GCCGACGUCGCAUAAUCCGGUAUUGCGCCAGACUUGAAAUCUGGUUCCCAUGGAAUUGGCGGUUCAAAUCCGUCCGUCGGCG
RNAcentral lists this transfer RNA (82 nucleotides) under Nanoarchaeales archaeon. RNAcentral's name for it is "tRNA-Ser". It matches the Rfam family "tRNA". Rfam says of the family: Transfer RNA (tRNA) molecules are approximately 80 nucleotides in length. Their secondary structure includes four short double-helical elements and three loops (D, anti-codon, and T loops). Lineage: Archaea; Nanobdellati; Nanobdellota; Candidatus Nanoarchaeia; Nanoarchaeales. The record is from RNAcentral.